This 253-nucleotide ribosomal RNA is filed under the name uncultured bacterium. Its description in RNAcentral is "partial 16S ribosomal RNA". It matches the Rfam family "Bacterial small subunit ribosomal RNA", at positions 524 to 776 of the family's 1533-position model. The record is from RNAcentral.
UACGGGGGGGGCGAGCGUUGUUCGGAUUCAUUGGGCGUAAAGGGUGCGUAGGCGGCGCGGUAAGUCGGGUGUGAAAUCUCGGAGCUUAACUCCGAAACUGCAUUCGAUACUGCCGUGCUUGAGGACUGGAGAGGAGACUGGAAUUUACGGUGUAGCGGUGAAAUGCGUAGAUAUCGUAAGGAAGACCAGUGGCGAAGGCGGGUCUCUGGACAGUUCCUGACGCUGAGGCACGAAGGUCAGGGGAGCAAACGGG